This 511-nucleotide ribosomal RNA is filed under the name Ascomycota sp. C.Ino 17. RNAcentral's name for it is "eukaryotic LSU rRNA". The stretch from base 149 to 302 matches the Rfam family "5.8S ribosomal RNA". The record is from RNAcentral. Lineage: Eukaryota; Fungi; Ascomycota.
UAUGAAGGCUUCGGCUGGAUUAUUUAUUUCACCCUUGUCUUUUGCGCACUUGUUGUUUCCUGGGCGGGUUCGCCCGCCACCAGGACCACACCAUAAACCUUUUUUGUUAAUGCAGUCAGCGUCAGUACAACAAAUGUAAAUCAUUUACAACUUUCAACAACGGAUCUCUUGGUUCUGGCAUCGAUGAAGAACGCAGCGAAAUGCGAUACGUAGUGUGAAUUGCAGAAUUCAGUGAAUCAUCGAAUCUUUGAACGCACAUUGCGCCCUUUGGUAUUCCAAAGGGCAUGCCUGUUCGAGCGUCAUUUGUACCCUCAAGCUUUGCUUGGUGUUGGGCGUUUUGUCUUUGCUCGCCAAAGACUCGCCUUAAAACGAUUGGCAGCCGACCUCUUGGUUUCGCAGCGCAGCACAAUUUUGCGCUUGCAAAUCAGCAAGUUGGCACUCCAUCAAGAACAUUUUCUUACGUUUGACCUCGGAUCAGGUAGGGAUACCCGCUGAACUUAAGCAUAUCAAU